RNAcentral lists this ribosomal RNA (254 nucleotides) under uncultured bacterium. RNAcentral describes it as "partial 16S ribosomal RNA". It matches the Rfam family "Bacterial small subunit ribosomal RNA", at positions 524 to 776 of the family's 1533-position model. The record is from RNAcentral.
UACGUAGGGUGCAAGCGUUAAUCGGAAUUACUGGGCGUAAAGCGUGCGCAGGCGGUUGUGCAAGACAGAUGUGAAAUCCCCGGGCUUAACCUGGGAAUUGCAUUUGUGACUGCACGGCUAGAGUGUGUCAGAGGGGGGGUAGAAUUCCACGUGUAGCAGUGAAAUGCGUAGAUAUGUGGAGGAAUACCGAUGGCGAAGGCAGCCCCCUGGGAUAACACUGACGCUCAUGCACGAAAGCGUGGGGAGCAAACAGG